UUAACUAUAGUACAACUUCAGGUGUGUGGCGUUCCAGGUGCGAGGGAUCGCCCCUCCUUCCAGCGUUUCUAAGCGGUAGGCCCCGUUCCCGAGCGCCUCGGUUAUUCUGAACGGUCCAGUCCACUUGGGUGACAAUUUAUUCUCCAUCUCGUACUGGUGGGCCUUCCUCAUCACCAAGUCGCCCUCUCUAAACUGCCUUGGCAUCACGUUCGAGUUGUAUCUUCGUUC
RNAcentral lists this long non-coding RNA (228 nucleotides) under Phaseolus vulgaris (common bean). RNAcentral's name for it is "long non-coding RNA (PVUL_LNC004981)". Lineage: Eukaryota; Viridiplantae; Streptophyta; Magnoliopsida; Fabales; Fabaceae. The record is from RNAcentral.